This 460-nucleotide ribosomal RNA is filed under the name uncultured bacterium. RNAcentral's name for it is "partial 16S ribosomal RNA". It matches the Rfam family "Bacterial small subunit ribosomal RNA", at positions 338 to 795 of the family's 1533-position model. The record is from RNAcentral.
CCUACGGGAGACAGCAGUGAGGAAUAUUGGUCAAUGGACGAGAGUCUGAACCAGCCAAGUAGCGUGAAGGAUGACUGCCCUAUGGGUUGUAAACUUCUUUUAUAUGGGAAUAAAACGUUCCACGUGUGGGAUUUUGUAUGUACCAUAUGAAUAAGGAUCGGCUAACUCCGUGCCAGCAGCCGCGGUAAUACGGAGGAGCCGAGCGUUAUCCGGAUUUAUUGGGUUUAAAGGGAGCGUAGGUGGAUUGUUAAGUCAGUUGUGAAAGUUUGCGGCUCAACCUUAAAAUUGCAGUUGAAACUGGCAGUCUUGAGUACAGUAGAGGUGGGCGGAAUUCGUGGUGUAGCGGUGAAAUGCUUAGAUAUCACGAAGAACUCCGAUUGCGAAGGCAGUUCACUGGACUGCAACGGACACUGAGGCUCGAAAGUGUGGGUAUCAAACAGGAUUAGAUACCCCAGUAGUC